RNAcentral lists this ribosomal RNA (253 nucleotides) under uncultured bacterium. RNAcentral's name for it is "partial 16S ribosomal RNA". It matches the Rfam family "Bacterial small subunit ribosomal RNA", at positions 524 to 776 of the family's 1533-position model. The record is from RNAcentral.
UACGUAGGCAGCGAGCGUUGUUCGGAAUUACUGGGCGUAAAGUGUGCGCAGGUGGCUUCGCAAGUCGAGUGUGAAAUCCCCGGGCUUAACCUGGGAAUUGCGCUCGAAACUACGGAGCUGGAGUGUGGCAGAGGGAGGUGGAAUUCCACGUGUAGCGGUGAAAUGCGUAGAGAUGUGGAGGAACACCAAUGGCGAAGGCAGCCUCCUGGGACAACACUGACACUCAUGCACGAAAGCGUGGGGAGCAAACAGG